This is a long non-coding RNA of Tetranychus urticae (two-spotted spider mite), 1410 nucleotides long. RefSeq lists it as uncharacterized. The record is from RefSeq and is a predicted model, not a curated record. NCBI's taxonomy places the organism in Eukaryota, Metazoa, Arthropoda, Arachnida, Trombidiformes, Tetranychidae.
ACAACUUAAAUGAUAUAAGGAUGGAGGAUCAACAAUUAAACAGCUCAUGGUAUGAGCACAAAAGCUCAUGAAAAUUAUAAUCAAUAAUGGACCGAGAAAAGAUUUCCAGCUGAUAAUCAAUAUGGUAAACUAUUGAUUAUUUUACAGUUAGUCACAAAAGCUGGUUCUGUGACAGACUGUGUGUCAGGUUUAGUUAAUUGUCAUCUAAAAUAAAAUGACUAAACAAUGUUGAUAUGUUACAAUUUCAAGAUUGUUUUAAUUGAUUAACGAUAGCCUAAUCAUUAUAAACAAUCUUACCUUCUGAAUGGAUCUUCUUGUUCUGGACUUCCUGGGAUUCCCAUUUCUUUCAUUUUGAAACGAUUCCCUACAGAAGAUGAUAGGAGAGGGAUAAGGACAAGAAGAAGAUAAAAGACAGGAGAAGAGUUAGACUGAUGAUUAAAGAUGAAAAACCACGAAUUAUACGAUGAAUUGUUGAAUCAACAUUUAAACAUCCUGUUUUUGGUUUAUUUUAAGCAAGGACAGUAAACCUCUAGAUGCUUAUUUGGUCAAAAUUAUAAACCUUUGAUCAUCUCUUCUGGACAGGAAAAUGGACAAAUGUAUGAUUAUGGACAAAGUAAAGAAAACCUUUCACUUGGGACACACGAAAAGUACAACAUGUCAAUGAAUGAAAAGAGGCUGACGAAGCUCUUUACAUUUGGCAUGGUUCAGCCACAAAGCCAGCCAAGUAAACUUACAAUUGGAUUGAAUGAAAAAUAUAUUAAGGUAAAAGAAGGAAACCAUCAAAAGAAGCUGAAAUUCAUGAUAAAGGCGAUGAUGAUGGUUGAUGAUCGUUUCUAUUAUAAAUAAUUUACUCAUCACAAUAACUUUCAAUUUUUGGAACCAAGUUAACCAAGGAAACAAAUCAAGCAAAAACGAGAAGAAAAGAGAAUCAAAUUACUAAUAUGGAUCCAUGGUUGAUAAAAAUUAGAUGCUAUUAACUUUUAUUUAGUGGUUAUAUUUUGACGAAAUUUGGCUCCUAAAAUUAACUUCAAUAAACCGAGAUUACAGUUUAAUCAAGACAAUAAAGUUCAUUGAAAAUUCAAGCGCAAAGACUUCAAAUUGGACCAUUUUCCUGGAGAAACAUUUUACAGCAAAAAAAUCAAUUCAUUAAUACAUACAACACUAGCAUCACAGGAGAUGCAAAAAUUUUGAAGUAUUAAAUGCAUCAGUAAGAUCAGGAAACAACAUAGGAAAAGGCAAAGAUGGAGUUAAUAAAAUAUUUUUGCCUUCUCAGUGUAAAUCAGCUGAAUGGUGAAUAUCGGAAAGCCUGGAACUGACUGAGAGGAAAAGAGUUGAACGAUAAAAAAAACAAAAACAACCAAAAGCAGUUUGAAGUGAAUAACUUUUAUCAUUAAAAGUAAUUUUCUUGCU